Nicotiana tabacum (common tobacco) is the source of this 1553-nucleotide long non-coding RNA. RefSeq lists it as uncharacterized. The record is from RefSeq and is a predicted model, not a curated record. NCBI's taxonomy places the organism in Eukaryota, Viridiplantae, Streptophyta, Magnoliopsida, Solanales, Solanaceae.
UUUCUUACAUUUUUCUCUCUUUUUCGUUUCUUCUCCACAGGGACCAUCACCUCUACAAUUACCAUCUCCAUCUCUGAAACCUUCAUCACCUGAUAGACCCAGUCCUUAGAGUUUCUUCUUUAUUUUUCGUUUACUGAAAGAGCACGCCCCGUCUUCCUCUUCAUCACUAUACCUUAAUACCAUCUUCUCUAUUUUUUGUUCACCUUUUCCUCUAUUGUUUAUUUUUGUAUGCUUUUGUUGAAAGAAAUAUCUCACUGAUCCCCACUUUUUUCCCCAACAAUUUAAAGAAUUUAUUAGUCGAGGUCUCGUUCAGGCUCUACUUGGUUAUUGAUGUAAUAACCCAGGACUUUGGGAUGGUUAUUUUGGUAAUUUGACUAAGAGGAGAAGAAAAGGAGAAAACCUAGAGAAUUUUAAGGGAAUUGGCAGUUGCAUAUGUGCUUCAGCCGCAGAAGUUAUACAAGUAGCAAAAGCUCAUUUAAUGUGACGAAUUAGAAAGGGUAGUUAAGAUGUUAGCUAAAUUAAGUUUCAAUGUGUUACUACUCAAUCCUAUUUCUUUUGUAGUUGAAGUUACAUUUAUGUCAAUUAGGCCCCCAAGGCCAUUUGCUAUUUUACUUUGCUCCAUGCGAGGUGUAGGAAAGUUCUGGAAUACUCCUUAGCUCUAUUUUGCAGAGCUUGUAUAUUUUUGGUAUUAUCUGAUGAAUGAAUUAAUAUCUUCCUCCUUCUUACCUCUUUCUCUCUCACUCUAUUCUAUCUCUUCUCACUAUCUUUAUAUGUCUAUUUUCCCUGCGAAAUCAUCAUUAUUGAACCCUUAUAAGUUUUAUAUUCGUUACAGUGGUAUAAGAGCCAACUGGGCGCGGGUAAGCAUGCUCACAAUGUCUCAAAAUUAGGAAAUUCUAGGGUUAACGGAAGGUGUCACUAAGAUUCGAACUCAGCUGAAGUCAUUUAUGAUCGAAACGACGAAGCGAUUCAAAACUCUUGAAACCCAGCAAACUCAAUUCUCUUCAUAGCUUCAAGAGACCUAAGAGCCGAAUCGACGACUAGAUAUGGACACAAACAAAAUAUUGGAGCUCAUUCUUGCAAGCUUAGAUAUUGAUAAUCGACGGCCGAACUCAACACCUCUUUAGUCUCAGUCACAAGCAACUCCAAACCCAAAUACGUAUGAGUGCGGCAUGUCCUCAGUUUGUCAUUAGAGGAACACCUAGAACAUUUACAGGUGGUGCUGGAAUUGUUAAGAAGCCACCGUUUGUUUGCUAAGAGGUCAAAAUGUGACUUUGCUCAGUCACAAAUUGAAUACUUGGGGCAUAUCAUCAAUGGUGACGGGGUGAGUACUGAUCCCAGUAAAAUUAUUUCCAUGGUGAAUUGGCCACAACCAACCAACAUUAAAAAGUUGAGGGGUUUUAUAAGACUCGCUGGCUUACCGGUGGUUUAUUAAGAAUAAUGUUGUCCUUAGCAAACCCCUGACUAUAUUACUAAAGAAGAGAUUUCAAUGUAGUGAAGAAGCUACAAAGGCCUUUCAUGAUCUUAAACUAUGAAUACAACUCAUGUUUUGUCUU